This 445-nucleotide ribosomal RNA is filed under the name uncultured bacterium. RNAcentral describes it as "bacterial SSU rRNA". It matches the Rfam family "Bacterial small subunit ribosomal RNA", at positions 330 to 792 of the family's 1533-position model. The record is from RNAcentral.
UCCAGACUCCUACGGGAGGCAGCAGUGGGGAAUAUUGCACAAUGGGGGAAACCCUGAUGCAGCGACGCCGCGUGAGUGAAGAAGUAUUUCGGUAUGUAAAGCUCUCUCAGCAGGGAAGAUAAUGACGGUACCUGACUAAGAAGCCCCGGCUAACUACGUGCCAGCAGCCGCGGUAAUACGUAGGGGGCAAGCGUUAUCCGGAUUCACUGGGUGUAAAGGGAGCGUAGACGGCCAGGCAAGCCUGGAGUGAAAGCCCGGGGCCCAACCCCGGGACUGCUCUGGGAACUGUCCGGCUGGAGUGCGGGAGGGGCAGGCGGAAUUCCUGGUGUAGCGGUGAAAUGCGUAGAUAUCAGGAGGAACACCGGCGGCGAAGGCGGCCUGCUGGACCGCGACUGACGUUGAGGCCCGAAAGCGUGGGGAGCGAACAGGAUUAGAUACCCCUGUA